RNAcentral lists this long non-coding RNA (1501 nucleotides) under Linum usitatissimum (flax). RNAcentral describes it as "long non-coding RNA (LUSI_LNC008109)". Lineage: Eukaryota; Viridiplantae; Streptophyta; Magnoliopsida; Malpighiales; Linaceae. The record is from RNAcentral.
UUUAGGAACAGUGUUCUGCAUUGCCAACAUACGUGGUGGUGGAGAGUACGGUGAAAAAUGGCACAAAGCAGGAUCACUUGCCAACAAGCAGAACGUCUUUGACGACUUUAUCUCUGCCGCUGAAUACCUCGUGUCAACUGGUUACACCAACCAGAAGAAGCUUUGCAUCGAAGGUCUGAGCAAUGGCGGCCUCCUCGUAGGUGCUUGCAUAAAUCAGAGACCAGAUCUAUUCGGAUGCGCUCUGGCUCAUGUUGGUGUUAUGGACAUGCUCCGAUUCCACUUGUUCACUAUAGGUAAACAUAUAGGUUUCAGAUUCAUCCAAGUUGCUUCUAACCACCGUAAUCAUUCUCAAACUGAAAUUCUUGUUUCUCUAGGCCAUGCUUGGAUUUCUGAAUAUGGCUGUUCAGAAAACGACCAACAGUUCAAUUGGCUGAUCAAGUAAGACAUGAUAUUACUUAAUAAAAAAAACGAAAAAAGAAUGAUGAUCAGUUUAUCAUACAUUACCUGAGAGUUUGCUCUGUGACAAUUUGAUCAGGUACUCUCCACUGCACAAUGUGAGGAGACCUUGGGAAAUGAACACUGAUGAGGCAAUUCAGUACCCUCCCACCAUGUUGCUUACUGCCGAUCACGACGAUCGAGUUGUUCCAUUACACUCUCUGAAGUUGUUGGCGGUGACUGAUCGACUUUUCCCUCCAAUUCUCUCGACUGGAGACAUAACUGUAUCAUGGUUUCUUGACUUUUCUUAUUUUAUGCAGACGUUGCAGAGUGUUCUGAUCACCAGCUUGGAGAAGAGUCCCCAAACCAACCCAAUAAUUGGCCGGAUUGAUCAGAAAUCAGGCCACGGGUAUGGCCGUCCCACUCAGAAAGAGGUAAGCUUUUUUACACUUAUUGAAUUGAUUUCUUCUCUACUUAUCUGUGGGCUAUUAAUUCAACUGUGUGUUUGACAGAUUGAUAUAGCUGCCGACUGUUAUGGGUUCAUGGCGAAGAUGAUGAAUUUGGAGUGGACUGACUAGGAAACAUAAAAUCGCAUCCAGUUGAAUUCAUUAGUACUGUUGUACAAUGGUUUCUAGUAUAAGGAUAUGAUAAUAAGCAGCUGUUACAAGGUCUUGUAAGAUGGAAUAAACAGUGCAAUUCUACAAUUUGUUCUAAUCAUGUGUAAUUUGUGUACGAUGAAAUUAAAAAAUAUUGAGACUUUGAUGAAAAUCACAACCUGUGUUGUAGAAGUAAUUUCAAAAUCGAGCUUCUGUACCGAAGAAUUCGGAUUUGCUGGAUUCGGAUUACCUUUUCGGAGCCUAUAUAUAAAUCUUCCGAUUAGGGUUUCUUUCUUUGUAUUAUUGUAAAGCCUAAACCUAAAUGGAGAGGUUACCGGAUGAGCUACUCACAGAGAUAUUACGGUGGAUGCCACUGGAGGAAGCCGCAACAACAAGCCUUGUUUCGAAGCGAUGGCGAUACGCCUGGAGAAACCCACCAAAUCCUCAAUUCGACGACAACAAGAUAACUA